AGGAGCGGGCCCCGGCUGAGGCGGUAGGAGCGGGCCCCGGCUGAGGCGGGCGUUGGGCGGGCGCUGCCCUCAGCCACGCGCGGGGCGGGGCCGGCGCCAGGCGCGGCGUGUGCGGAGCUGAGGGCACCGACAGCUCGACCCGGAGGCAGCGCGGGCCGCAGGCAGUGCUACGGGAGGCGACUCCAAGUCUACUUCUGAUGCCUCAGAGUAACAACAGAGAUAUCGGUGCUGUGUUCAGUGUAUUCUUCAAGAAUCAAUGGGAAUCAAAGUGAGAAUUCCACCAUGA
Long non-coding RNA from Colius striatus (speckled mousebird), 286 nucleotides. RefSeq lists it as uncharacterized. The transcript is spliced from 2 exons. NCBI's taxonomy places the organism in Eukaryota, Metazoa, Chordata, Aves, Coliiformes, Coliidae. The record is from RefSeq and is a predicted model, not a curated record.